RNAcentral lists this long non-coding RNA (210 nucleotides) under Populus tremula. Its description in RNAcentral is "long non-coding RNA (PTRE_LNC002470)". The record is from RNAcentral. Lineage: Eukaryota; Viridiplantae; Streptophyta; Magnoliopsida; Malpighiales; Salicaceae.
UCCUUUUUGGCACCAUUUUCAUUGCUGUAAUGGCCAAACUUCCUUUUUCUUUUGUUGGCCAAGGCUGGUGGUGUCUCGCUCUGGAUAUUUCAUGGCAUGGAUUUGAUUCCUGUUUCCUUUUGCUUCCUAUUUUCAAUGCUUGCUAUUUAUUGUCUGUUUCCCCUAUUCAGCUUACUCUGUGAAUGAAUUUUCUCAACGUUUAUGAAAGGA